GUCUGUGCGGGUGUUGAUGCACAGUCUGGCCUGCCCCCUGAGAUUUUAAAGGGCCGCGGUAUUUGGACCGUGCUAAGGUAGCAUAAUAAAUAGUCUUUUAAUUGAAGUCUAGUAUGAAUGGUCGGACAUGAAGUAAGCUGUUUCAGCCUUAACAACUAAAUUUUACCUUUAAGUGAAAAGGCUUAGAUUGGAUGGUGGGACGAUAAGACCCUAUAAAGCUUACACUGUGUCUAUUGGUCUGGGGGUCUAAGGUUUUCAAUCCCUGUUAGGCAGAGCGUUUCGUUGGGGCGACGGGAAUAAAAAUAGUAACUGUUUUUUACAUAAAAAUAUAUGUCUAUAGGUGUAUUGAUCCUUUUUAGAGAUUAUAAGAUUUAAGUUACUUUAGGGAUAACAGCGUAAUUUCUCUUGAGAGUUCAUAUCGACAGAUGUAGUUGCGACCUCGAUGUUGAAUUAAAGUGUCCCCAGGGUGUAGCAGUUUUGGUGGUAGGUCUGUUCGACCUUUAAAAUUUUACAUGAUUUGAGUUCAGACCGGCGUGAG
RNAcentral lists this ribosomal RNA (538 nucleotides) under Caridina cf. gracilirostris GUCKZ249. RNAcentral describes it as "partial 16S ribosomal RNA". It matches the Rfam family "Bacterial large subunit ribosomal RNA", at positions 1829 to 2625 of the family's 2925-position model. Lineage: Eukaryota; Metazoa; Arthropoda; Malacostraca; Decapoda; Atyidae. The record is from RNAcentral.